RNAcentral lists this ribosomal RNA (253 nucleotides) under uncultured bacterium. RNAcentral's name for it is "partial 16S ribosomal RNA". It matches the Rfam family "Bacterial small subunit ribosomal RNA", at positions 524 to 776 of the family's 1533-position model. The record is from RNAcentral.
UACGUAGGGGGCAAGCGUUGUCCGGAAUCAUUGGGCGUAAAGAGCGUGUAGGCGGCUCGGUAAGUCCGCUGUGAAAGUCCAGGGCUCAACCCUGGAAUGCCGGUGGAAACUGUCGAGCUAGAGUCCGGAAGAGGCGAGUGGAAUUCCUGGUGUAGCGGUGAAAUGCGUAGAUAUCGGGAGGAACACCAGUGGCGAAGGCGAUCACCUGGGGUUGUUCUGACGCUGAGGAGCGAAAGCUAGGGGAGCAAACGGG